UUGAUUGGUUUAAUUUUAGCCAAAAAAAUAUCGGAGGAAGACCACAUAUAAAGUUUAUAUAUGCUUAAAGGAGUUUGUAGCCUUUAAUAAUUAGUGGUGAGAAUUUUUAAUUUUAUUUUUUAAAUAAAAGCUUUCUACCGGGUACUAGGAUAAGUCACAGUGCCAGCAUCCGCGGUUAUUCUGUUUAGUAUUAUUUUAAAACAUACUUGAUUGUUCUAAACUUUUAGUUUUAUUUGGUAGAAUAAUUUAAAGCUAUAAAAUUUAUAGAACUUAUGGUUUUAGUAAUAAGUAGAAAAGAAGAUUAGAUACCUUCGUAUUUUUUAUAUAGUUAAGUUUAGUUAAACUAAAAGAAUUUGGCAGUCUUUUAAUCUUUACUGGGGGUCGUGUAUAUUAAAGGAUGGUCCACCUAUUAAUUUACCUUAUUUUAUUGUUGGUGUACGUCUGACUGCAUAUUAAUGUAAGUAAACAUUAGUGUAAAUAGUAUUAAUUUAAGUUAGGUCUAUGUGCCACUAUAUUAAGGUUUAUAUGCUACACAUUUAUAAUAGAUAUGCUGUAAGUUGUAUAAAAUUUAGGACUAGUAAGUAAGCUUUAUUACAGUGUGAUUGGUUUAAAAGAGUUUAAGAGAGGUACAUACCGCCCGUCAAUUUCGGUGUAUGCUGAGAUAAGUCGUAACAUGGUAGCCCUUAGGGAACUAGGGGCUUGUAAA
This 706-nucleotide non-coding RNA is filed under the name Macrogyrodactylus karibae. Lineage: Eukaryota; Metazoa; Platyhelminthes; Monogenea; Gyrodactylidea; Gyrodactylidae. The record is from RNAcentral.